Molecule: long non-coding RNA, 5497 nt
Organism: Rana temporaria (common frog)
Lineage: Eukaryota; Metazoa; Chordata; Amphibia; Anura; Ranidae
Exons: 2
Source: RefSeq, a predicted model, not a curated record
AUGUGUGUAUAUGUAUAUAUAUUCUUGCAUGCCUCCACAUUUACAUGCUGACCAACAGAAGGGUCUGGAUAAACUAUUACAUUUUCAGGAGAAACUUUACAGGGUAUAACUAUAAAAGUGUUAGCGUUGGGAUUUUAUUUGUCGCUUAUUUAAAGUAGUGCAGAGUCUUACAGGGAAACAACGCUGCUGUGAUUUCACUCCCGAACACAAUGUUGUCAUCCGGUUUAGGUUAAAAUCAAUGGAUCUACUGGCAGCAUCGGGAAGUAUUCAACGCUGUUAAAGGGGACAAAGCAGAAAAAUAAAAACUAUUCUUGCCAGUGACAGACUUUAAAUACAAAAGGUUGUGCUAAAAAAAAGAAAAGGACAAGAAAGUGAUGACCUAUCACCUGGGUAGUGAUAAGAAAUAAAGUCCACAAUAGUUCCAGUGAUUGGAUAUCAAUCUGUGAUUAUUGAAGAAAAAUCAGUCUGUGAUUAUUGAAAAAAAAUCAGAAGUGUGAUAGCGGCUUCCAAUGGAAACACUUGUGUUGUGUCCAGACCUCCACAAGGAUCAAACACAGGGCUUACCAGAUAAAAUUGACCACCCACUACAGAUAGGUCAAUUUAAGCAUGUAGUAUAGCGGUAUCCUAUGAUCCUCAAUGGUGAUGGCAAUACCACAGCACACCUCAAUAAUCAAUGCUUUGCAGUAUAUAUGUUUAAAAACGGACAGAGAGACCUUGCAUAGCUUAACUUUGUAUAUAAAAGGUUUAUCGAAUAGAGACAUGGUAACGCUCACAUAUCCUCCAUGUAUAAAGCUCUUUUUGGUAUAUAUAAACAGGAUAGCUUCCCAGUCUCUUCCAGCACCGACGUCACAACAGUUUCCCCCUACGCGUUUCGUCAAACCUGACAUCAUAUGGGGCAUGGAUGCCAUGCUGGACCGUCACUCAGAUAUAGGAAGCGGGGAAGCCAAGCCUCGAUUUGAUUCCUAUUACACUCCCAAUCUUACAGGCUAGUAUGCAUCACGUGGUUUCCAGUAUGGACCUCGUAUCUACAUACAGAGUAUAAAUAAGCCCAACAGACUUGUUUUACUUAUCGGUAUUGCAUUGAGUGCAUCGCAUAUAAGCCAUCCGUAAAAAUUACAGCUUUAUAAAAAAAAAUGACAAAAAUGAAUAUGACGAUAUCCAUUACUCCUAAAAUUUGGAUGUCAUAAAUUUUAACUUAGUGACAGACUGCCUUGUAUAAAGUAUAUAAUUCUUUAUUUUAUUUGCAGUUUUAUUUUAUCGGCUCUAUUUUUACCUGGUUAGACCUCAUGCACAUGGGGCAUCAAAAAGCACCUCUUUGAAUGUCAUCACCGCUGGCAGGAAAAUGUGGCUCACAAAUCGCACUAAAAGCCAUGCAUUGCGCACGCUUUUAGUUGCUUUUUGCAUUUUACCAUAACUGCAUUCUACUGGUCAGAAAAUGUAUUCUGGUCGGUAAAAUCGAUUAACGGGGAUACGCUUUACACAUCCAGCGGUUAUGUGCGUUUAGGCGUAUUUAUAAAAACAAAUUCUGCUUUUAAGUUCCUCUCAAAAACACACCUGGUGUUUUUUUCUGCGUGUAAAUCCUCCCCUUACAGUACGCCUGUAAAUGCCUAUUUGUGCUUGGGCGCAUAGGCUUGUAUAGAGGUGCUUUUAACAAGGCUGUCUGUAUAGGCAGCGUUUUUUUUUAUUCAGUGUGCUUGAGGUCUUAAACUGGGUGCCUACACCUAAAAUAAGUCACUUUCUUAAAAUUAGUGGCUGUAUGAUGCGUCUUAAUGCAUCAGGCUUUGUGAGUGUUGGGUCAUGACUGAAGUGUGUCAUUAAAAAGCCCUAAGAUUUUUUUUUUUUGUGUCACUCCAGCCUUCAUUGACCUGGUCAAUCACUAUAGGAGGUUGGUCUGGCAGCAGAAUAUAUUCCUUCAGUCUUGGAUUAGUGGACACAAAACAAUUUUUUUAUGGCUUGUAUUAGAACCCAGCAUGUGUCUAUUACUUUCAGCGCAGGGUAGAGAGCAGACCCUUGCACAUGGGAUAGCUGUAAGUUUUGAAAUCACAUGGGUUUGGUUGCAAUAUCAACCACUAUUGAUGAUAGAUCUCCUCUAGUGUAUGAGCUACUUGAUGAUGUUCCUUUUUUGCAAAUCCUAACUACUUCUGUAGUUCUACAUUAUAUACUGUAAAAGAUUCUCCAGUCCAUAAGUGGUAUAAUUAAUGCAACUGAAUGCUAUGAUGAGCCAAGCACCAAAUGUUGCCUUUUGUGUUACUGUAUUUAUAAUUCAUAGUGGAGCCUCUUCUGCAUUUAAAAAAAUGUAUGUUGGAGCAUUGGAAAUUCUAUUGUCCAAAAAUCCCAACAGAUUGCUACUAAUUGGCUUUAGGAGGGGAGGAACAAUUACCCUCCUCUAAUUUUGUUUGUUUCCAGAAUGCACAUCCAUUUUUAAUGUGUGUUUUUAUUCGGUUGGUUUUGCAAUUUAAACAUUUCAAUUUUACAUGAGUAUAGGCUCUGUAUAUUUUCUGAUUCUAUUUGAGGCAGAGAAAAAAAUAUUUGCGCAGAUAAUAAGUAAUAUACGUUGUGUUCAACCAAAAGGCUAGAAGUCCUCCAACACGUAUUGUAGCCAGUUGGUUUCUAUGGCAAUGACGUAACUUUUUUGUGCAGUUUUAAAUAGAUGUGAAACCUAAGAGAUCUGGUCUCCAGGGAUACAUGUCUUUCUGAUGUUCAAGCUGAAUUGUGUUGCAAAUUGAAUAUGAUCUUUUUUUUUUUUCAAGUGAUACGUGUGUUCAGUCCAUAGAGAUACAUGUUGAUACAUGCUGUUUGUUAUUCCUGGAGUCACUCAAUAAAUUGAUUGUUCAUGGUCGAUUUAUAUGGCAUAGUGAGGCAUGCUGGAUAAAGGAUGAUGCAUUUUCCCUUUUUUGGUUUCCCUGCCCUACCUGCCCUACAGUUCCUUACCCCAAGCCAAGGGGGUAACUUGUAUGAAACAAUUAUAAUCCAAAAUCCCCAAUUACAUAAAACUGAGAUCAUGCGACAAGCAAGGUCCCAGAUCUCCUGACUUUGGUCUGUAUUGGGGGAGGGGGGGUGUUUGAUCUUACACUGCCCAAGUUACUUUCUGUUGACAUGGGCACUGCCCAUUGUCUGUUGGAAGAGUGCAUUACAGGGUCCUCCACAGAGUGCCGAAGCCUUCAGGAGGGACAUCAUGUGAGAGGUGGAUACCAGACUGGUCAGCUGGAUCAGAAAAGACAACGUAGAGUUGCUUCAACCACCUGUGACUACUACCUUAAGAGGUGCCAUGGGGAAAUCGCAUGACAGAAACCAAACAAAUUCAACUUCAAUGUUUGCUUCCUAAGAUUUACCAUUGUACCAAUUCCCAGAGUUGACAUGCAGACAAUAUCCUAUGCUGUGGAUUUGAUAAUUGUACACUGGUGUCUUGCUGGAAACAAAGGUAUAGCUCAUUAAAGUUUUUAUACACGUACCUUGGAAUCUUGUCAGAAAAAAAAGACUACUUUUUGCCUGAAUGAACCACUAUGGUCUGUACACAUCUAAGUUGUUCAGUGAAUGUGCACUGUGCACCCUGCUCUGCAUGGUGGAAACCCUUCAUCAUGUGGACAAGUAAAAAGAAACAGCAUCAUUGAAAUGAUAAUGAAUUUCUAUGUACAAAAUGGAUACUGGGUGAGGGAUGCAAAUUUUACAUUGUCACAUCUUUGGCUCUACCCCAAACUAGCUGAGAGGUGCACUUACAGGUUGCAGGGUUUGCUAGUCUCUGCCAAAUCCCACAGUGUGAGCUGUGUCAAAUCGUAUUGGUUCAGGGUCUUGACUGAAAGUGGUGUACAGAAAUGCGUAUUUAAAAGCAUAAAGCCUAUUAGAAAAAAAAAUGGAAAAAUUUUGCUUUUUAAGCGUAAAUUUAAUUGGAACUGAUACAAUGAAAAGGCAAAAAAAAAACUUGCCAAAUAACAUUUGCCGCUCCCCGGUAGUGAAAAUGUUUUGUGUCAUUUGGUUAUUUAUUGCCCUGAGAUGGUUGUUCCCCCCAACAAAGCCACUGACGGUUUGGGAAGCAAUGUUCCCCCUGUGAGGACACUGCAACCAACAAUUCAAAAUGGAUUUUCGCUGUUAUUUUCUUAAGACGAGGGUUACAGCAUUUCCUGGGUGCAUAGACAUGCAGCCUCAUCCAAAAUAAUUAUGCACUUUUUAUAGAACUUCUGCAAGUUCACACCAGUGUGGUCCUUUCCAGUGCAGUCAACAAAAGUAGAACCUGCAGUUUUUCUUGUCUGAAACAAAUGCACAUUAUCCUGAAUGAAGAUAAAACGUGUGUCAAAACAGAAAAAAAACGAAUAAAAAAACCCACACUGGAACAAAUUGAAAAUGCAUGUAAACGCACAUGCAAAAAACUAUUUCAGAAAUUGUUAUGUAAACCAGUGUUAAGUGAACAUUUUGAGGGUUGGAAUCGUCUGACCUCAUGUCUAUGGCUAGACUUAAGCUGACCAUGCAUGAUUCAGCAUGUUGAAUGAAAAAAAAUAACCAUUUCCUCCAUCCACACACUUGUUGUGGAUGGGGGAAUCCUUCCUGCUAUGGAAUUGGCAGAGGCAUUGAUCGUUCAGGAAAAAUCCGACAGGCUGGUUGUUCAUAAGUGGACUGAUAGAAUUUGAAUCCAUGUAUGGCUAGCACUAUGUUGACUGUGCCCCUUAUAAAGUUGAUUCCAAGUCCAAUAGUGAAAGUAAGUCUGUCAUGAGAGAAAUAUGGGGGCUUCCUUCCUGUUGACAUUGGCCCAGAACAGGUUUGGACACCAGUAACGUCAUAAGUCCUUAUCGAUCUACUUGUGUCAGGUUAGGGAUUGAGAAUUAAAAAGCAAAAUUGCACCCAUGGAACUUUAAAUGAGAUGAGCAUGAGGAGACCAAUAAGAGUAUUUAGAAUACACAUGGUUAAUAGAUUUAUUGAGGUAAAAACAUUUAUCGUAUGUAAAAUUCAUGGCCAUGGAUGCCAAACCGCUUGGGGUCAACAUUCUAACAAAAAUGCUAGGAAACUUACACAUAAGUUACAACUGUUGGUAUAAAAUAAUACACAGAUGUCGUAUAACUGGGCGCAUUUCGCAAGCCACUGCUCGCUUCUGCAGGACUAGAUGUUUAUGCAGUGUAUCUACAGAAUGAGAUGUUAAUUAGAAAUAUAUAGCUUGAUCCCUGGGGAUGUUUGCAUCAGAGGAUAAGAUUACCUAUGAAACAAUAUCAGAAAAGUCUAUUACCCCACCUGUUAACUGCUGCUAAAAGCCUGAUAGCCAGUCACUGGCAAGAAAGGGAAAGCCCCUCCAUUAAAGAAUGGUGUAAUAAAAUGAAUUCCAUUCAAAAUUUAGAAUUCCUAAGGUUAAGUGACUCAGACAGUUUAGAGGAAUUUGAAAAGACCUGGUCUAAGUGGACAGAGUUUAAAAAUUCCAUGACAUUUGCGGAGCUAAUGGGUGCAUAGGGCAUAGUACUUGGUAAGACUUUUUCAGAUUUUUAAGGAGGGAUCCAAUAUAAGAAAGUAUUAAAAU